AGGACUAACGCUGGCGGCGUGCCUAACACAUGCAAGUCGAACGAGAGUAGCAAUACUCUAGUGGCAGACGGGUGAGUAACACGUGGUCAACCUACCUUUAAGUGGGGGAUAACUAGCCGAAAGGUUAGCUAAUACCGCAUACGAUCUUCGCGUGGCAUCACAUGAAGAUGAAAGGAGCAAUCCGCUGAAAGACGGGACCGCGUCCCAUUAGCCAGUUGGUGGGGUAACGGCCUACCAAAGCAACGAUGGGUAGCUGGCUUGAGAGAGCGACCAGCCACACUGGGACUGAGACACGGCCCAGACUCCUACGGGAGGCAGCAGUGAGGAAUUUUCCGCAAUGGGCGAAAGCCUGACGGAGCGACGCCGCGUGUGGGAUGAAGGCCUUCGGGUCGUAAACCACUGUCGAAGGGGAAGAGUAUUGACGGUACCCUUGGAGGAAGCCCGGCUAACUACGUGCCAGCAGCCGC
RNAcentral lists this ribosomal RNA (467 nucleotides) under uncultured bacterium. RNAcentral's name for it is "SSU rRNA". It matches the Rfam family "Bacterial small subunit ribosomal RNA", at positions 26 to 518 of the family's 1533-position model. The record is from RNAcentral.